Long non-coding RNA from Eriocheir sinensis (Chinese mitten crab), 5456 nucleotides. RefSeq lists it as uncharacterized. NCBI's taxonomy places the organism in Eukaryota, Metazoa, Arthropoda, Malacostraca, Decapoda, Varunidae. The record is from RefSeq and is a predicted model, not a curated record. The transcript is spliced from 2 exons.
UGCUUUUAACUUUUCAAGUGAUUUUCCUUUUUUAAACUUUAUUUUACAUUAAAAAAGUUUUGAUCAAGUCAGUGAACUAUUUAAUCAUAUUGUUACGAACCAUUUAUUAAAUAAGUUAUGUAUUUUUGAACUUAAAAAAGGUAUUAAAAGACUCUAAUUUACUUCUAUUCUUAAGUUAACCGAAAUAAGAGAGAAAUAACUUAAAAAGUGUGUUAUGGACCUUUAAAAGCAUUUUUUUUAUUAUAUAAUUAUAGAGUUUUUUAAUCUACCGAUACCGAAUCUAUACCGAUCGGUAGAUUUCUGAAAAAUCUACCGAUCUACCGAUACCGAUUGGACGCGGCUCGCUACCGACUACCGAUACCGGUGGUAGAUUUUUUCUACAGAAUCCCAGCUCUGCUGUUGACGAAGACUAAUGUGCCGGUCAUAAUAUCAGGCGUUAGUUUCACACACCGUCUCUGUCUGCUUACACUGCCCGUAUAUAAAAACGAUCACAGCCAACUCAACACGCCUUAAAAAACGGAUCAUAGAAGACAACUCAGCCACAUUACUGUUGACGAAGACCAAUGUGACGUUUACAAUAUCAGGCGUUAGUUCCACACACCAUCUCUGUCUGCUUACACUGCCCCGCACCUCAUGUCCCACCAGUACAGUCGCCACCACCUGAUGAGUCUCACCCUUCACCCAGAGCAGCUUGGGCACUAUUACCGUCACCUGAAACCUCUUCUUGGUAUGAUGGAGAACUUGAGGGAUUUGUAAGAGGCGGGUCGGUAGCUCCUGUCAACCUUAAACUUUGCAUUCUAGUUAUUUUUUGGUUUACAUAAGAACGUGAGUCUGCAAGAGGCCAUUCAAUCACUCCUGUAAUCCUAGAUCAGUUUAAACUUUUUACACGAAUUAGUCUUUGGUGUAAUGAACAAAGGGAGUUUGCAAGAGACCAGUCACUUGCUCCUGUAAACCUCUCUCUUAAACUUCUCUUUUUACAUGGGAACUUAAGGAAUCAGUAAGAAGCCAGUUGGUAGCUAAUGUAAACCUAACACAGCUGGUACACACGUUAACCCUUUGUAUAAUGAACAUAGGGAGUCUGCAAGAGGCCAAUCAGUAGUUAAUGUAAACCUAACACAGCUGAUACGCAAUUUAAUCCUCGGUAUAAUAAGCAUAGGGAGUCUGCAAGAGGCCAUUUGUUAGCUCCUAUAAAACUAUCACAGUUGGCACACGAUUUAAUCCUUGGUAUAAUGAACAUAGGGAGUCUGCAAGAGGCCAUUUGUUAGCUCCUAUAAAACUAUCACAGUUGGCACACGAUUUAAUCCUUGGUAUAAUGAACAUAGGGAGUCUGCAAGAGGCCAUUUGUUAGCUCCUAUAAAACUAUCACAGUUGGUACAUGAUUUAAUCUUUGGUAUAAUAAGCAUAGGGAGUCUGCAAGAGGCCAUUUGUUAGCUCCUAUAAAACUAUCACAGUUGGUACAUGAUUUAAUCCUUGGUAUAAUGAGCAUAGGGAGUCUGCAAGAGGCCAUUUGUUAGCUCCUAUAAAACUAUCACAGUUGGUACAUGAUUUAAUCCUUGUUAUAAUGAACAUAAGGGGGAGUCUGCAAGAGGCCUUUCUGUGGCUAACAUAAACCUAACUUCUUUGAGCGAAUUAGUCCUUGGUAAAUGAACGUAAGGAGUCUGCAAGAGGCCAAUCGGUAGCUAAUAUAAACCAAACACACCUGGUACACGAUUUAAUCCUUGGUAUAAUGAACGUAGGGAGUGCAAGAGGUCUGUCAGUAACGCCGAUAGACCAAACACGUCUCCAUGAAACCUCUAUCUUGAUGGUUAGGGUAUUCUUUAUGUCAGGGGCAACGAAAACUUCUCGGCCAAUCAGUUAAGACUCUGGGAAGGGGACGGAGCUCAAGGGACGGGUUAGUUUGCCUGGUGGUGACUAUUUAGUGUGUUCCCUUGACCUGAUAAAGACAGCAUCCCUUCACCCCUUGCAAAUAUCCAUUGGUGUACUUGAAGCAAUAUCACGUCUACCACUCUCAGGCGUUCUUCCUCCUCCCUUGUAGAUGUGUAUAUGCGUUGAUGUUUUAAGAAGACUUUGGAGUGUGUAAAAAGUGUUGUAGUAUAUGUGUGUGUGUGUGUGUUAGAGAGAGAGAGGCUUGAUGUGUGGUUGUUAAAAUGUAUAAUGAGUGAGUCUUUGUGCGUGUGUGUGUGUGAAGGUGUUGUAAAGUGGAAAAUUAACUUACUGAAUGACAAAGCUACCUACAGCCAGUAAUUUAAAAGUAUGGAAAGGCAGUGUCUUGAUAUUACUGAAAAGAUUUACUAUAAGGUUGUGAGUGAGACAGUAGAACAUAACGGAAAAGAUUGUGCAUGGAAAGGCUGGAAAAAUAAUUGAAAGUGGUGAACGGAAAACUGGAAACGAGUGGAGUUGAAAUUUAGCGACUGAAAAAUUUGAAGAUUGUGAGAAAUAUGAAGAUGUGAAAAAUAGAUAGAUUGUAAGAAAUAGGAAGAUUGUAAGAAAUAUGAGAUUGUGAAAGAUAUAGACUGUGAAAAAUAGGAAGACUGAAAAAUUGUGAAAAAUAUAAAGAUUGAGUGACUCCUCCUUCAAGGGACGAUGAACAAAGAAGGGUUGAUGUUGCAGGCAGGAAAACAUAUGAAAUUUAUAAAUGAAAGGAGAGAAAAAAGCUGUAUAUAUAAUGAGUUUGAAAAAGGACGACAGGAACACUUAAAACAGACAUGAGUGAAGAACUGAACUUGAACCAACAAACAGAGGACCUUUUUUUGUGACACAGACUGAGGUUUGAAAAUAGCGAAUGAAAAGGUUGAAAAAAGAAAAGCUGUAAAUAAUUAGCAGGGGAGUAACAUUAAAAGAAAAUUGCGAGUGAAGAGUUAACCGAAAAUAAGAGAGAUGAGGUUUUAAUUGAUAGAAAAUGGUGAAUGGAAAGAAGGAAAAAGGGAAAAAUCUGUAUAUAUAUGUUUAAAAAGGGACAAGAACGGAAAAUUAAUGAAGAGCGGACAGGAAGAAAAAGGGAAGAAUCUGUAUAUAUGUUUAAAAAAAGGACGAACAAAAAAAAUUCAGAGCGGACAGAAAGAAAUAAGAAAAAGAUUGUAUAUAUGUUUAAAAAAGGACAAAAAUGAAUGAAGAUGGACAGAGAAGCAAAAGAGAAAAGGACAGGAAAGACAUGGGAAAGAAAAAGAGAGGAUGAAGGAAAUAGAGAAAAGAAUAGAGGAGAGAAAGAGAAGCAAGGAAAGCGUGGAAAAGAAAAUGAAUGAAAAAUAUAUGUUUAAAAAAGGACAAAAAUUAAAAAUGAAUGAAGAGCGAAAAAUUUGUCUAUAGGUCUGUUUUAAAAGGGACAAGACAAGAAAAAAAAAGAAUGAAGAGCGGAAAGAAAGAAAAAGAAAAAUCUGUAUAGAAAAAGGGAAAAAUCUGUAUAUAGGUCUGUUUUAAAAGGGACAAGAACCCCAAAAAAAAAAAAAAUGAAGAGCGGAAAGCAGGAAAACAAUCUGUAUAUAUGUUUAAAAGGGACAUAAGAAAAGAGCGAAGAGCUGAACUUAAAACUGAAAUGAAAUAGACAAUGAAAAAGAAAAAAAAAAAAACUAUAUAUAUAACAAGUUGGCAAAGGGACAGUAAACAUUGAAAAUAAAACUUGAUCUAAACUUAAAACAAUUAACAGAAAAUCUUUAGUGAUACAGACUUCCUAAGUUAUUCAAUUCAUCCAUUCAGAUAAGUAUAAUCCAUGCCGUAAGAACGCAGUAGAGGCGGCACCAUGGAAAAGUGUCCCUCAUUCCCUUAUGGUGGUAGGGCCAAGCGGACCGGUUGAAGCUUGGUAGCGCCGGUAGAAAAAAAGAUUUGACGCUCACCACCAUUGCAAAGAAAGAUGACUAGGGUUAUUCUGUGUUCCAGUACUACUGAGGUGCAUCGCUGUGGCCUGUGUGUGUGUGCGUGUGUGUGUAUAUACCGCUGGGUGACAUGACUCUUGCGUUCCCCUACCGUUAUCACCCAAACUUUCCUUGCUCUGUGGGUUUGGCUUCUCCCCUCCAUCCCCUGCCCCUCCUCCUCCUCCUCCUUAUCUGCUGCCCUCCUUACCCAUAACUACCCCUUGCCUCCAUAUCCCUCUUCCCUAUUGUCUUCCCAUUCUUUUCUUCUAUUCACUAAGUUCAGUCCUUUCUCCCAUUCUUCCCUCACCCGUCAUCCUUUACCUUUCUCCUGCUUCUCUUACCUUCCCACCCUUCCCCAAACUCAACCUCUUUUUACCCUCUUAUGCAACACAAUCUUCCCUUACCCUCUUACCCAAUCCACCUCUCUCUUACCCUGACCUAACCACUUCUUAUCCAAUCCAGCCCUAUCAUACCCUCUUAUCCAAUCCACCUCUCUCCUACCCUCUUAUCCAAUCCAGUCUUCUUAACUCUUACCCAACCCAGCCUCCCCUUACCCUCGCACCCUUCCCCAAAAGCCACAACACAAGAACACCGGCACCAACGGCAGGGUAAUGUAUGCCUGUCCCCCCUUUCUCACCCUCCCUCGCCUUCCCCCCCCCCUCCCUCCCCCAUCACCUUCACCGUCCAUUGUUCAUCGUCUUGCUCACCCUCACCAUCAAUAGUCUCAUGCCCAGACCGAGGUGGUGCGCAGAACAGAUCAAAACGUUACCUUUGGGGUGUGUGUGUGUGUACGUGUGUGUCAGGUUCGUUUGUACAUGUGUGUGUGCGUGUGUGGGGAGUAUAUAUAUAUGGUUGCAUUGGGUUUAUUAUCGACGGUACAGGGAGUUAGUUAGGCGUGCAGCUCUCUCUCAUCCCCCACCACCACCACUAUCAUCACCAUCACCCCCCCCCCACCACCACCAGCGCCGCCCCCCUCUGGUCUGUUUUUAGUAGUGUAGACGCAGCACUUUUUCCAGUUCUCUUGCAUUCCAGGUUUCACUUUGUGUGUUGUAUAUUAUCAUUAUUUUCUACCCAACGGUUUUCGAGACAGUGCUCAUCCUAGACAAUGCUGAACGUGUAGGAGACUUGCCGAGAGAGAGAGAGAGAGAUAGAGGAAUGGAGGGAGGGAGGGGAAACGGGUGUGACUGGCUGAAGGAGAGGACGAGCAUAGUUCCGAAGAGAGAGAUAAAUUAGAAACACUGCGAGGAAAUAGUAAGUGACGUAAGUGUUUUGGAAGUAGCCGAGAGAGAGAGAGAGAGAGAGAGAGAGAGAGAGAGAGAGAGAGAGACAACUCCCUUCGUCACCUCCCCUUCCCCCUCCCUCCCCCUAACGCGUGGGUCCUCUGAGGCAGCUGUACGAUAGUGAGGAAAAAGUAGAAGGGAGAUAAGGGAAACAGUAGAUAGGUAGAGAGAAAUUAGGUAGGUAGAGUGAGUGAGAGAGAGAGAGAGAAAGUGUGCAUUGUGAGGCCUUAAACACUCCGAGAUGAGACGAGUUGUACACACUCUUGCAAUAUGUUUUUUCCUUGUGUUUGUUGUUUCGUGAGCACUAAAUAUAUUGUGUAAAAAUUGC